RNAcentral lists this ribosomal RNA (468 nucleotides) under uncultured bacterium. RNAcentral describes it as "partial 16S ribosomal RNA". It matches the Rfam family "Bacterial small subunit ribosomal RNA", at positions 28 to 507 of the family's 1533-position model. The record is from RNAcentral.
GAUGAACGCUGGCGGCGUGCUUAACACAUGCAAGUCGAACGGAAAGGCCAGUGCUUGCACUGGUACUCGAGUGGCGAACGGGUGAGUAACACGUGGGUGAUCUGCCUUGCACUUCGGGAUAAGCCUGGGAAACUGGGUCUAAUACCGGAUAGGACAAUGGUUUGGAUGCCGUUGUGGAAAGUUUUUUCGGUGUGGGAUGAGCUCGCGGCCUAUCAGCUUGUUGGUGGGGUAAUGGCCUACCAAGGCGUCGACGGGUAGCCGGCCUGAGAGGGUGUACGGCCACAUUGUGACGGAGAUACGGCCCAGACUCCGACGGGAGGCAGCAGAGGGGAAUAUUGCACAAUGGGCGCAAGCCUGAUGCAGCGACGCCGCGUGGGGGAUGACGGCCUUCGGGUUGUAAACUCCUUUCGCUAGGGACGAAGCGUAUUUGUGACGGUACCUGGAGAAGAAGCACCGGCUAACUACGUG